RNAcentral lists this long non-coding RNA (603 nucleotides) under Mytilus galloprovincialis (Mediterranean mussel). Lineage: Eukaryota; Metazoa; Mollusca; Bivalvia; Mytilida; Mytilidae. The record is from RNAcentral.
AACCAGGUGCUCCGCAGGGCGCAGCUUUAUACGACCGCAGAGGUCGAACCCUGAACAGUUGGGGCAAGUAUGGACAAAACAUUCAAGCGUGAUACAGCUCUGAAUUUGGAUUGUGAUCGAAUUUUUGACAUUACAUGUUUUUUUUUACACAAAACAAAUGUCAAGAUUUUACAAAUCAAUUAAAGAUUUCUUCUUCAAACUUUUUAAAUCUAAAAUUAAAUAGUUGACACAGCAUAGGUUUCUGACACAGAAUGAAUGUGGUCUAAUGAACUUAAAAGUUUUUUUUUGCCUUUGAGCAAUUCACUAUGCUGUUGAAUAUUAAUCCUCUGAAAAAAAUGUUUGAAGAAAUUUUCUUUUUAUUUAUGAAAUUUGAAAUGAGAAAAAUUUAAACCCCCCCUUUUUUUUCACAUCCCCACUUCCCUUUUUCCAAAACUGAUAUCAAUUCAAAUUUCUAAUGGAGUUUGCAACAAUAACUACAUAAUAAAUACAUCAUAAAAUAUUAAAAUGUAAAAUAAAGUGCUUGUUAUCACUGAAUGGUAAAGAUUGGUUGGUAGUAAAAGUGAAUAUACAUUGUUUAUUGUAUAAAACAAUAAAAAAAACUUC